AAGAAAUGUGGCAUGCCUGUUGUGAAUUACUCUGAUUAUUGAUGUAUUAUUAUUAUUUUAAUUGAUUUUGGGAAACGGGGUGUUACACAUCA
This 92-nucleotide microRNA precursor is filed under the name Medicago truncatula (barrel medic). RNAcentral describes it as "MIR2617 microRNA precursor family". It matches the Rfam family "MIR2617 microRNA precursor family". The record is from Rfam by way of RNAcentral. Lineage: Eukaryota; Viridiplantae; Streptophyta; Magnoliopsida; Fabales; Fabaceae.